Molecule: non-coding RNA, 47 nt
Organism: Daphnia pulex (common water flea)
Lineage: Eukaryota; Metazoa; Arthropoda; Branchiopoda; Diplostraca; Daphniidae
Source: Rfam
UAAACGGCCCUUUUCAGGGCCACCAAUUUAUUUUUGAAAAAAAGAAU